AACGCUAGCUACAGGCUUAACACAUGCAAGUCGAGGGGCAUCGGGAUUGUAGCAAUACAAUUGCCGGCGACCGGCGCACGGGUGAGUAACACGUAUCCAACCUACCGUUUACUCGGGGAUAGCCUUUCGAAAGAAAGAUUAAUACCCGAUGGCAUAAGAAUUCCGCAUGGUUUUCUUAUUAAAGAUUUAUCGGUAAUCGAUGGGGAUGCGUUCCAUUAGAUAGUAGGCGGGGUAACGGCCCACCUAGUCAACGAUGGAUAGGGGUUCUGAGAGGAAGGUCCCCCACAUUGGAACUGAGACACGGUCCAAACUCCUACGGGAGGCAGCAGUGAGGAAUAUUGGUCAAUGGGCGCGAGCCUGAACCAGCCAAGUAGCGUGAAGGAUGACUGCCCUAUGGGUUGUAAACUUCUUUUAUACGGGAAUAACACGCGGCACGUGUGCCGUUCUGCAUGUACCGUAUGAAUAAGCAUCGGCUAACUCCGUGCCAGCAGCCGCGGUAAUGCGGAGGAUGCGAGCGUUAUCCGGAUUUAUUGGGUUUAAAGGGAGCGUAGACGGGUCCUUAAGUCAGUUGUGAAAGUUUGCGGCUCAACCGUAAAAUUGCAGUUGAAACUGGGGACCUUGAGUGCGGCAGAGGCAGGCGGAAUUCGUGGUGUAGCGGUGAAAUGCUUAGAUAUCACGAAGAACUCCGAUUG
Molecule: ribosomal RNA, 692 nt
Filed under: uncultured bacterium
Lineage: Bacteria
Description: bacterial SSU rRNA
Rfam family: Bacterial small subunit ribosomal RNA
Source: RNAcentral